GUCUACAGCUCUAUCACUCUGAAUGCACGUAAUCUCAUCUGAUCUCAGAAGCUAAGCAGGGCCAGACCUGGUUAGUACUUGGAUGGAAGACAGUGGCUCAAGACA
RNAcentral lists this ribosomal RNA (105 nucleotides) under Sus scrofa (pig). Lineage: Eukaryota; Metazoa; Chordata; Mammalia; Artiodactyla; Suidae. The record is from RNAcentral.